RNAcentral lists this ribosomal RNA (301 nucleotides) under uncultured bacterium. RNAcentral's name for it is "partial 16S ribosomal RNA". It matches the Rfam family "Bacterial small subunit ribosomal RNA", at positions 509 to 807 of the family's 1533-position model. The record is from RNAcentral.
CAGUCGCCGCGGUAAAACGGAGGGUGCAAGCGUUAAUCGGAAUUACUGGGCGUAAAGCGCACGCAGGCGGUCUGACAAGUCAGAUGUGAAAUCCCCGGGCUUAACCUGGGAACUGCAUUUGAAACUGUCAGGCUGGAGUCUUGUAGAGGGGGGUAGAAUUCCAGGUGUAGCGGUGAAAUGCGUAGAGAUCUGGAGGAAUACCGGUGGCGAAGGCGGCCCCCUGGACAAAGACUGACGCUCAGGUGCGAAAGCGUGGGGAGCAAACAGGAUUAGAUACCCCUGUAGUCCCUGUCUCUUAUAC